AACAGAUUUACUUCGGUAAUGACGUUAGGAAAGCGAGCGGCGGAUGGGUGAGUAACACGUGGGGAACCUGCCCCAUAGUCUGGGAUACCACUUGGAAACAGGUGCUAAUACAGGAUAAGAAAGCAGAUCGCAUGAUCAGCUUUUAAAAGGCGGCGUAAGCUGUCGCUAUGGGAUGGCCCCGCGGUGCAUUAGCUAGUUGGUAAGGUAAAGGCUUACCAAGGCGAUGAUGCAUAGCCGAGUUGAGAGACUGAUCGGCCACAUUGGGACUGAGACACGGCCCAAACUCCUACGGGAGGCAGCAGUAGGGAAUCUUCCACAAUGGACGCAAGUCUGAUGGAGCAACGCCGCGUGAGUGAAGAAGGUUUUCGGAUCGUAAAGCUCUGUUGUUGGUGAA
Molecule: ribosomal RNA, 394 nt
Filed under: uncultured Lactobacillus sp.
Lineage: Bacteria; Bacillati; Bacillota; Bacilli; Lactobacillales; Lactobacillaceae
Description: bacterial SSU rRNA
Rfam family: Bacterial small subunit ribosomal RNA
Source: RNAcentral